CUGAAUCCCUCAGCUCACUCAGUUUCAAGACCAUGUCUCCUAAAGACAAAAUAGCCUUUUAGGGUACCUCUUAAGGGCUGGGGUCAUGCGAAUUCAUUCCUGGCUUCUGAAGCAUCAGGAAUGGAACUCUGGCAAUCAUAUCUCUACUGCAUGAUCCAAACCUGGAUGUAGCUGCCUGGAGGGGAGGGCAGGGGCUUGGGCUGUUUGAUUAAAUUAGAUCUACAGAAGUUUGACUUAAUUUUAUUUAUUUAUUUAUUUAUUGCUUUC
This 267-nucleotide long non-coding RNA is filed under the name Sus scrofa (pig). RNAcentral's name for it is "lncRNA (ENSSSCG00035027118.1, ENSSSCG00055011370.1, ENSSSCG00070017782.1)". The record is from RNAcentral. Lineage: Eukaryota; Metazoa; Chordata; Mammalia; Artiodactyla; Suidae.